This 388-nucleotide ribosomal RNA is filed under the name uncultured bacterium. RNAcentral describes it as "bacterial SSU rRNA". It matches the Rfam family "Bacterial small subunit ribosomal RNA", at positions 97 to 520 of the family's 1533-position model. The record is from RNAcentral.
GGCGGACGGGUGAGAAACGCGUAGGAACGUGUCCUGAGGUGGGGGACAACCCUGGGAAACCGGGGCUAAUACCGCACGUGCCCUGCGGGGCAAAGCCGAAAGGCGCCUUGGGAGCGGCUGCGUCCGAUUAGCUAGUUGGCGGGGUAACGGCCACCAAGGCGGCGAUCGGUAGCUGGUCUGAGAGGACGACCAGCCACACUGGGACUGAGACACGGCCCAGACUCCUACGGGAGGCAGCAGUGGGGAAUAUUGGGCAAUGGGCGCAAGCCUGACCCAGCAAUUCUGCGUGGGUGAAGAAGGUCUUCGGAUCGUAAAGCCCUUUCGGCGGGGACGAUGGUGACGGUACCCGCAGAAGAAGCCCCGGCUAACUUCGUGCCAGCCGCCGCGG